This 647-nucleotide ribosomal RNA is filed under the name Bathyxiphus sp. CCZ 151. RNAcentral describes it as "partial large subunit ribosomal RNA". It matches the Rfam family "Eukaryotic large subunit ribosomal RNA", at positions 716 to 1240 of the family's 3401-position model. Lineage: Eukaryota; Metazoa; Porifera; Hexactinellida; Sceptrulophora; Euretidae. The record is from RNAcentral.
GGAAUGAAAGUGAAAGAGAACUCACUUACCUGUCAAAGGGUUUGUGCGUUUUUCUGUGAUGUGAGCUUAUCUCUUGUGUUUUAAGGAUGAGCCUAACAUAGGCCGAUCGUUGUGACAGCUACGUGGUGGUGCCUGGCCUGCCUUCGGGUGUGCUGGGUUACGGUCACGAGGGCGACAUGAUUCGAGCGUGAGCGUAUCUGUUGGGACCCGAAAGAUGGUGAACUAUGCCUGAAUAGGGUGAAGCCAGAGGAAACUCUGGUGGAAGCUCGUAGCGGUUCUGACGUGCAAAUCGAUCGUCAAAUUUGGGUAUAGGGGCGAAAGACUAAUCGAACCAUCUAGUAGCUGGUUCCCUCCGAAGUUUCCCUCAGGAUAGCUGGAGCCUGUGCUAUGUGUGUAGUUUUAUCAGGUAAAGCGAAUGAUUAGAGGUAUUGGGGUUGAAAUGACCUCAACCUAUUCUCAAACUUUAAAUGGGUAAGAAGCACAGCUUACUUUGGUGAAGUUGUGCCAAGCUCAAUUGAAUACAGAGGCUCUUAGUGGGCCAUUUUUGGUAAGCAGAACUGGCGAUGCGGGAUGAACCGAACGCUGGGUUAAGGUGCCCAAGUCAACGCUCAUGAGAUCCCAGGAAAGGUGUUGGUUGAUACAGACAG